RNAcentral lists this ribosomal RNA (497 nucleotides) under uncultured bacterium. Its description in RNAcentral is "partial 16S ribosomal RNA". It matches the Rfam family "Bacterial small subunit ribosomal RNA", at positions 28 to 507 of the family's 1533-position model. The record is from RNAcentral.
GAUGAACGCUGGCGGCGUGCCUAACACAUGCAAGUCGAGCGAACAGAUGAGGCUCUCUCCUCUCUGACGCUACCGACGGACGGGUGAGUCAUACGUGGCUAACCGAUCUAUAAGACUGGGGUAACUUCGGGAAACCGGAUCUCACAUCCGUCAAUAUAUUGAACCUCAUGGUUCAUUAGAGAAAGAGCGAUUUGCUGUCACUUAUAGAUGUAUCCUAGCCGCAUUAGCUAGUUGGUAAGGUAACGGCUUACCAAGGCAACGAUGCGUAGCCGACCUGAGAGGGUGAUCGGCCACACUGGAACUGAGACACGGUCCAGACUCCUACGGGAGGCAGCAGUAGGGAAUCUUCCGCAAUGGGCGAAAGCCUGACGGAGCAACGCCGCGUGAGUGAUGAAGGUCUUCGGAUCGUAAAACUCUGUUAUUAGGGAAGAACAAAUGUGUAAGUAACUAUGCACGUCUUGACGGUACCUAAUCAGAAAGCCACGGCUAACUACGUG